RNAcentral lists this ribosomal RNA (402 nucleotides) under uncultured bacterium. Its description in RNAcentral is "bacterial SSU rRNA". It matches the Rfam family "Bacterial small subunit ribosomal RNA", at positions 355 to 774 of the family's 1533-position model. The record is from RNAcentral.
UCGGGAAUUUUGGGCAAUGGGCGAAAGCCUGACCCAGCAACGCCGCGUGAGGGAUGAAGUAUUUCGGUAUGUAAACCUCGAAAGAAUGGGAAGAAUAAAUGACGGUACCAUUUAUAAGCUCCGGCUAACUACAUGCCAGCAGCCGCGGUAAUACGUAGGGAGCAAGCGUUGUUCGGAUUUACUGGGCGUAAAGGGCGCGUAGGCGGCGCGGUAAGUCACUUGUGAAAUCUCUGAGCUUAACUCAGAACGGCCAAGUGACACUGCUGUGCUAGAGUGCGGAAGAGGCAACCGGAAUUCUUGGUGUAGCGGUGAAAUGCGUAGAUAUCAAGAGGAACACCUGAGGCGAAGGCGGGUUGCUGGGCCGACACUGACGCUGAUGCGCGAAAGCCAGGGGAGCAAACG